Molecule: long non-coding RNA, 853 nt
Filed under: Citrus sinensis (sweet orange)
Lineage: Eukaryota; Viridiplantae; Streptophyta; Magnoliopsida; Sapindales; Rutaceae
Description: long non-coding RNA (CSIN_LNC001388)
Source: RNAcentral
UCAUCGCUUUCUCGAGCAAACCUUUCAUCACCACCACCUUCAGUAUUCACUCUUGACUUCACCAUCUGCUUUCGGUUGCCGUAAAACAAACUCUCCAGGUGAUGUUUCUUCUUGUCUUUGAAACUCAGAUAAGCUAUAUUAGCAGAUAUUAUUUGAUUUUCCAUUUCUAGGAAUGUUUCUGAAGGUAUCAAAUCCAACCCAUAUGCUUGAUGUGUGAUUUUAAUCGAAAGAUAAGCUCCAUACAUUGUGUUUGGUGAUAACAUAUUGCUUCAAUCUCCAAACGGCUAAUCAUUCUUAGUUCGGCCGCCUCUAAAAACCUGGAAGCAAAAUGUGUUUGUUUUACUAAUUUCGAAAUAAAAUAAAUGUAAGUUAAAUAAGCAAGAUUAAGGGGACUACCUUGCCAUCAAGUUUCGGUUUAUAAUCUUGUAAUAUAUUAAAGAUUAAAAAAUAAUAAAAUAAAGCAAACAUAAAGCCUGAAAGCAUAUUAUGCAUAAGUAAAAAUCAACCUUGAUUUUAGUGAGGGUUUCCAUCUCCAAUUCUCUGGAUUAUCGCUCCAUGUAAUUGAAAGCUCCCUUGCAGACAAUACGUAGGAUUUUUUUCCAGAUGAUUUAUCCACCUUGAAGCUCUGCAUUAAAUGCAUUUAUAAUUAAAAUAUGCAAUAUAUGAUAAAAAAAUUUAACCCUCCGACAAGAGAGCUGUUGAUCGUCGGUCUGGAUUUUAAAGAUUGCGAAGUUCUGCAAAAGAUAUUAAGUAGUGGCUACAGGAUUGAAGAACCUUUCUACCAUUGGCUAUGAGAGUAGGGUUACAAAGACGAAGAUAAAGCUCUUUCUUUGACGAGAACUUCAAAGAAGUG